Molecule: long non-coding RNA, 673 nt
Organism: Oncorhynchus keta (chum salmon)
Lineage: Eukaryota; Metazoa; Chordata; Actinopteri; Salmoniformes; Salmonidae
Exons: 4
Source: RefSeq, a predicted model, not a curated record
CCUGUAGGUUUUAACUCCAACCCUGUUCCUGGAGAGAUACCCUCCUGUAGGUUUUUAACUCCAACCCUGUUCCUGGAGAGAUACCCUCCUGUAGGUUUUAACUCCAACCCUGUUCCUGGAGAGAUACCGUCCUGUAGGUUUUAACUCCAACCCUGUUCCUGGAGAGAUACCGUCCUGUAGGUUUUAACUCCAACCCUGUUCCUAGAGAGAUACCGUCCUGUAGGUUUUAACUCCAACCCUGUUCCUAGAGAGAUACCGUCCUGUAGGUUUUAACUCCAACCCUGUUCCUAGAGAGAUACCCUCCUGUAGGUUUUAACUCCAACCCUGUUCCUAGAGAGAUACCGUCCUGUAGGUUUUAACUCCAACCCUGUUCCUAGAGAGAUACCCUCCUGUAGGUUUUAACUCCAACCCUGUUCCUAGAGAGAAACCCUCCUGUAGGUUUUAACUCCAACCCUGUUCCUAGAGAGAUACCGUCCUGUAGGUUUUAACUCCAACCCUGUUCCUAGAGAGAUACCCUCCUGUAGGUUUUAACUCCAACCCUGUUCCUGGAGAGAAACCCUCCUGUAGGUUUUAACUCCAACCCUGUUCCUGGAGAGAAACCCUCCUGUAGGUUUUAACUCCAACCCUGUUCCUGGAGAGAAACCCUCCUGUAGGUUUUUAACUCCAACCCUGU